Molecule: transfer RNA, 89 nt
Filed under: Hydrogenophaga sp. A37
Lineage: Bacteria; Pseudomonadati; Pseudomonadota; Betaproteobacteria; Burkholderiales; Comamonadaceae
Description: tRNA-Leu
Rfam family: tRNA
About the family: Transfer RNA (tRNA) molecules are approximately 80 nucleotides in length. Their secondary structure includes four short double-helical elements and three loops (D, anti-codon, and T loops).
Source: RNAcentral
GCCUCGAUGGUGAAAUUGGUAGACACAGCGGACUUAAAAUCCGCCGGCUUUAAACGGCCGUACCGGUUCGACCCCGGUUCGAGGCACCA